GGGCCCGCACAAGCGGAGGAACAUGUGGUUUAAUUCGAUGAUACGCGAGGAACCUUACCUGGGCUUAAAUGUAGAGUGCAUUGAGAGGAAACUUUCAUUUUCUUCGGAACUCUUUACAAGGUGCUGCAUGGUUGUCGUCAGCUCGUGCCGUGAGGUGUCGGGUUAAGUCCCAUAACGAGCGCAACCCUUAUCGUUAGUUGCCAGCGGGUAAUGCCGGGAACUCUAGCGAAACUGCCGGUGUAAACCGAGAGGAAGGUGGGGAUGACGUCAAAUCAGCACGGCCCUUAUGUCCAGGGCUACACACGUGUUACAAUGGCCGGUACAGAGGGCAGCUACCUGGAGACAGGAUGCGAAUCUCGAAAGCCGGUCUCAGUUCGGAUCGGAGUCUGCAACCCGACUCCGUGAAGCUGGAUUCGCUAGUAAUCGCGCAUCAGCCAUGGCGCGGUGAAUACGUUCCCGGGCCUU
RNAcentral lists this ribosomal RNA (465 nucleotides) under uncultured bacterium. Its description in RNAcentral is "bacterial SSU rRNA". It matches the Rfam family "Bacterial small subunit ribosomal RNA", at positions 917 to 1382 of the family's 1533-position model. The record is from RNAcentral.